AUUGAACGCUGGCGGCAUGCUUUACACAUGCAAGUCGAACGGUAACAGGCCGCAAGGUGCUGACGAGUGGCGAACGGGUGAGUAAUGCAUCGGAACGUGCCCAGCCGUGGGGGAUAACUACUCGAAAGAGUAGCUAAUACCGCAUACGAUCUAUGGAUGAAAGCGGGGGACCGUAAGGCCUCGCGCGAUUGGAGCGGCCGAUGUCAGAUUAGGUAGUUGGUGGGGUAAAGGCUCACCAAGCCAACGAUCUGUAGCGGGUCUGAGAGGACGACCAGCCACACUGGGACUGAGACACGGCCCAGACUCCUACGGGAGGCAGCAGUGGGGAAUUUUGGACAAUGGGCGCAAGCCUGAUCCAGCAAUGCCGCGUGCAGGAAGAAGGCCUUCGGGUUGUAAACUGCUUUUGUACGGAACGAAACGGCUCUGGUUAAUACCCGGGGAUAAUGACGGUACCGUAAGAAUAAGCACCGGCUAACUACGUG
This 482-nucleotide ribosomal RNA is filed under the name uncultured bacterium. Its description in RNAcentral is "partial 16S ribosomal RNA". It matches the Rfam family "Bacterial small subunit ribosomal RNA", at positions 30 to 507 of the family's 1533-position model. The record is from RNAcentral.